GACUGUCCCCCCCCCCUCCCUGUCCCUGCAGGAGAGUCUGACGGUGGACGCCCCGAAGAGACACAAGGUCUCUGUGCACGUCCUCUCCAGAGAGAUGGACUCCUGUCCCAUCGUGGGGGAGUUCCCGGCUCAGAACGAUGUCAACCUGGCCCCCGCCCCCUCCUUGCCUCAGCCCACCCUGGUGCAGGACAUGACAGAGUUCAAGAGGAGCCUCCCCCUCUUCCCGCUGGUCAAACCUCACAUCAACUUCAUGGCUGCCAAACUGUGAGGGGGGGGGGCAGCUCCACACGCAGGAAGACCAGCAUCUCACCGAGCCUGCGUGUGCACGUGUGUCCGGCUGCAGCCUAGAGGAGACGAUCAGAAACAAACGUGUUUAAUUUGAAUCACCAUGUUGGCGACGUAGCUCAGAUAGAGGUCGCACAGUCACCUUUGAGAAGCUACACACACACACACCACUGUGUAGAGGAAAUAGUAACCUAUGAAAAAAGGCCACACCCCUUUUAAUGAAGAACAUGGAGGAGUUUAAUUUGAAUUCUCUUUUCAGACAUGCUGCUUUGAGGAGUGAUGUUUGGGGUUGUUGAAGUUUAACAGUAGCACCACGUCUUUUAUCUUUUGGACUCAUAUGUUUCCAUGUAACUAGGAAAGGACUGUCAAAGACAUGAUUUCACUCAAGUCAAUGCUUUUCCUGAAGAAUAUGUUUAUGCUUUUUGAUUGUUUUUAAUCCUGGCAGGUUUUGAAAUGCUUAUAAAAUGUUGGGACCCUUUUGAGGAGGUCAGCUGGUCACAUUGAUUUUAUUGCAUUUUACAGUAGGAUGUCAUUCAGAAACCUCAGGGGAACCUCUAUGCUGUUUUCUUCUUUUUUUAACAUUCAGUUUUAAUAGUGAUUGAUUACAAAUAAAAACACUUUUAUCCUUCAAA
Molecule: long non-coding RNA, 917 nt
Organism: Notothenia coriiceps (black rockcod)
Lineage: Eukaryota; Metazoa; Chordata; Actinopteri; Perciformes; Nototheniidae
Exons: 3
Source: RefSeq, a predicted model, not a curated record